GAUGAAGAACGUAGCAAAAUGCGAUAAGUAAUGUGAAUUGCAGAAUUCAGUGAAUCAUCGAAUCUUUGAACGCACAUUGCGCCCGCUGGUAUUCCGGCGGGCAUGCCUGUUCGAGCGUCAUUUCAACCCUCAAACCCCCGGGUUUGGUGUUGGGGAUCGGCUCUGCCUCACGGCGGUGCCGCCCCCGAAAUACAUUGGCGGUCUCGCUGCAGCCUCCAUUGCGUAGUAGCUAACACCUCGCAACUGGAACGCGGCGCGGCCAUGCCGUAAAACCCCAACUUCUGAAUGUUGUCCUCGGAUCAGGUAGGAAUACCCGCUGAACUUAAGCAUAUCAAUAAGCGGAGGA
RNAcentral lists this unclassified non-coding RNA (346 nucleotides) under soil metagenome. Its description in RNAcentral is "partial contains 5.8S ribosomal RNA, internal transcribed spacer 2, and large subunit ribosomal RNA". The stretch from base 1 to 120 matches the Rfam family "5.8S ribosomal RNA", at positions 35 to 154 of the family's 154-position model. The record is from RNAcentral.